AACGCUGGCGGCAUGCCUAACACAUGCAAGUCGAACGAGACCUUCGGGUCUAGUGGCGCACGGGUGCGUAACGCGUGGGAACCUGCCUUUAGGUUCGGAAUAACUCAGAGAAAUUUGAGCUAAUACCGGAUAAUGUCUUCGGACCAAAGAUUUAUCGCCUUUAGAUGGGGCCCGCGUUGGAUUAGCUAGUUGGUGGGGUAAAGGCCUACCAAGGCGACGAUCCAUAGCUGGUCUGAGAGGAUGAUCAGCCACACUGGGACUGAGACACGGCCCAGACUCCUACGGGAGGCAGCAGUGGGGAAUAUUGGACAAUGGGGCGAAAGCCUGAUCCAGCAAUGCCGCGUGAGUGAUGAAGGCCUUAGGGUUGUAAAGCUCUUUUACCCGAGAUGAUAAUGACAGUAUCGGGAGAAUAAGCUCCGGCUAACUCCGUG
This 431-nucleotide ribosomal RNA is filed under the name uncultured bacterium. Its description in RNAcentral is "bacterial SSU rRNA". It matches the Rfam family "Bacterial small subunit ribosomal RNA", at positions 32 to 507 of the family's 1533-position model. The record is from RNAcentral.